RNAcentral lists this ribosomal RNA (274 nucleotides) under uncultured bacterium. Its description in RNAcentral is "partial 16S ribosomal RNA". It matches the Rfam family "Bacterial small subunit ribosomal RNA", at positions 523 to 796 of the family's 1533-position model. The record is from RNAcentral.
AUACGUAGGAGGCGAGCGUUAUCCGGAUUUACUGGGCGUAAAGCGCGUGCAGGCGGUCUGGUAGGUUGGAUGUGAAAUCUCCCGGCUCAACCGGGAGAGGCCGUUCAAAACCGCUGGACUAGAGGGCGACAGAGGGAGGUGGAAUUCCCGGUGUAGUGGUGAAAUGCGUAGAUAUCGGGAGGAACACCAGAGGCGAAGGCGGCCUCCUGGGUUGACCCUGACGCUCAGACGCGAAAGCUAGGGUAGCAAACAGGAUUAGAAACCCUAGUAGUCC